RNAcentral lists this ribosomal RNA (459 nucleotides) under uncultured bacterium. RNAcentral describes it as "partial 16S ribosomal RNA". It matches the Rfam family "Bacterial small subunit ribosomal RNA", at positions 338 to 795 of the family's 1533-position model. The record is from RNAcentral.
CCUACGGGUGGCUGCAGUGAGGAAUAUUGGUCAAUGGGCGCGAGUCUGAACCAGCCAAGUAGCGUGAAGGAUGACUGCCCUACGGGUUGUAAACUUCUUUUAUAUAGGAAUAAAGCGUUCCACGUGUGCGCUUUUGUAUGUACCUUAUGAAUAAGGAUCGGCUAACUCCGUGCCAGCAGCCGCGGUAAUACGGGGGAUCCGAGCGUUAUCCGGAUUUAUUGGGUUUAAAGGGUGCGUAGAGGGAUUUUUAAGUCCGUGGUAAAAUUUGCGGCUUCAACCUUGGCCGGCAGUUGAAACUGGGGGUCUUGAGUGGGGGUGAGGUAGGCGGAAUGCGUGGUGUAGCGGUGAAAUGCAUAGAUAUCACGAAGAACUCCGAUUGCGAAGGCAGCUUACUGAAGUGCGACUGACGUUGAUGCACGAAAGUGUGGGGAUCGAACAGGAUUAGAUACCCGGGUAGUC